CCUACGGGGCGCAGCAGUAGGGAAUCUUCCACAAUGGGCGAAAGCCUGAUGGAGCAACGCCGCGGGGGUGAAUAAGGUCUUCGGAUCGUAAAACCCUGUUGUUAGAGAAGAAAGUGCGUGAGAGUAACUGUUCACGUUUCGACGGUAUCUAACCAGAAAGCCACGGCUAACUACUGACCAGCAGCCGCGGUAAUACGUAGGUGGCAAGCUUUAUCCGGAUUUAUUGGGCGUAAAGGGAACGCAGGCGGUCUUUUAAGUCUGAUGUGAAAGCCUUCGGCUUAACCGGAGUAGUGCAUUGGAAACUGGGAGACUUGAGUGCAGAAGAGGAGAGUGGAACUCCAUGUGUAGCGGUGAAAGGCGUAGAUAUAUGGAAGAACACCAGUGGCGAAAGCGGCUCUCUGGUCUGUAACUGACGCUGAGGUUCGAAAGCGUGGGUAGCAAACAGGAUUAGAUACCCGGGUAGUC
This 465-nucleotide ribosomal RNA is filed under the name uncultured bacterium. Its description in RNAcentral is "partial 16S ribosomal RNA". It matches the Rfam family "Bacterial small subunit ribosomal RNA", at positions 338 to 795 of the family's 1533-position model. The record is from RNAcentral.